Molecule: ribosomal RNA, 472 nt
Filed under: uncultured bacterium
Lineage: Bacteria
Description: bacterial SSU rRNA
Rfam family: Bacterial small subunit ribosomal RNA
Source: RNAcentral
GAUGAACGCUAGCGGCAGGCUUAAUACAUGCAAGUUGAGGGGCAGCAUGAUAUACGCGAGUAUAUUGAUGGCGACCGGCGGACGGGUGAGUAAUAGGUAGGAGACCUACCUCAUACAGGGGGAUAGCAUAGAGAAAUCUGUGGUAAUACCCCAUGAGGUUAUAUGAAUAGAGGCAUAUAAUCAAAGCAUAAGCGAUUAUGCGGUAUGAGAGGGGCCUACUGACCAUUAGCUAGUUGGUGAGGUAAGGGCUCACCAAGGCGAAGAUGGUUAGGGGUUUUGAGAGAGAGAUCCCCCACAUUGGAACUGAGAUACGGUCCAGACUCCUACGGGAGGCAGCAGUAGGGAAUAUUGGGCAAUGGCGGAAGCCUGACCCAGCCAUGCCGCGUGAAGGAAGACGGCCUUAUGGGUUGUAAACUUCUUUAACUAUGCGACUAACUAGAUUUACGAGAUAAUCUAUAGAAUGUAGCAUAGC